UACGGAGGGUGCGAGCGUUGUCCGGAAUCACUGGGCGUAAAGGGCGCGUAGGUGGCGCGGGCAGUCAACGGUGAAAGUUCGGGGGUCAACCCUGAAUCGGCCGUCGAUACUCCCGGGCUUGAGCACUGUAGAGGCUAAUGGAAUUCCGGGUGUAGCGGUGGAAUGCGUAGAGAUCCGGAAGAACACCGGUGGCGAAGGCGGUUAGCUGGGCAGUUGCUGACACUGAGGCGCGACAGCGUGGGGAGCAAACAGG
RNAcentral lists this ribosomal RNA (253 nucleotides) under uncultured bacterium. Its description in RNAcentral is "partial 16S ribosomal RNA". It matches the Rfam family "Bacterial small subunit ribosomal RNA", at positions 524 to 776 of the family's 1533-position model. The record is from RNAcentral.